Molecule: long non-coding RNA, 1365 nt
Organism: Brassica napus (rape)
Lineage: Eukaryota; Viridiplantae; Streptophyta; Magnoliopsida; Brassicales; Brassicaceae
Exons: 3
Source: RefSeq, a predicted model, not a curated record
CUUCAACUCCCUCUCUCAUCUCUCCACUAUUUUCUUCUUCAUUGGCUUUGAUUAUCUACGAUGUGUUCUACUCUCUCUUAUUUGCACCUCUAUGCUCUAUAUAAAUGGGUCACAUGAGUCACACUGAUGAGUAAACUAAAAAGUAAUACUAAGAUGACAUCUUCCAUAGUUUCCAGCAUGUUUUUCUUUGUUCUUCUUCUUAUUGUGUUUCCGCAUAUGGAUAAAACUCUUGGCGCACAAAAGGAGCUCCACAAACUCCAAGAGACAAACCAUCCUGAUCAAGUGACAGUCCAAAGGCAACGCCGCUAUUUUAUUGGUCCUCCGUCUAUUCCGUGCCAACACUACCAGCGAUGCAAGCGUACUCUACCCACUCCAACCCCUCCGUGCCACUUCUACCAGCGAUGUAAGCGUACUCCACCGACUCCAACCUCUUCUAAAGGCAAAUACGGAUCUGGUCACUGAUCUCACUAUAGAGUCAAAUGCGUUAUAUAUGUAUCGACGUUUCUACGAUAUCGGUCGCUUUCCAGUUUCUGUGGUUCUUCGUCUCGUGUUGUCAUGUUUCUAUAGAUUUAUCAUACAUAUUAGUAAGUUGGAACAAUAUGUAAAAUUUUAAUAUUGUAUCCAUAGAUCAUGAAUGCCCACCAUCUCAAUAAAUAGACGUUAUUAUUUUAAUAAACAAAUGUAGUUGUAACAUUACUUUGUCCCCUUAUGCUUUUUAUCUUAACGUCGAUCUCAUAUAAUCUCAAAAUUUUUAUUUUUUUUAUAACUAUUGCAUCUGCGCAGCCACAUUCCCAACUAUCCCUUUUUCGGGAGUCCAGCACCCCAACGGAAGAGAUGUUAAAUCCGUUGUGACCAAGGCUCGAACCCGGGUGGCGGACAGUACAGCUAUACUUCCUUUACCACCAAGCUACAAGCGCUUGGAGAAAUGAAGAGAGAGCUAUAUAUAAAACCUAUGCAAUCCGAGAAGCGACGUUUACGCCUUUGGGAUCCUUCUCUCAGCAACUGGUAAUAAUUCUAACAUUCUUUGUCAGAGAUUCUCGAAUCUUUCUGUUGUUAAUUAGUGAAAGCAUAGGUUUCUGCAUUCUUCUGUUGUAAGUAUGCUUAACUUUUGGUGCCCUUGAAUGCAUGAUUAGUAUGCAGUGUUAAUUAAUUAAAAUUUAAUUGUAUAACCCCUCAAAACCAAGACAGAAGAAAAUAACCGAAGUAGAUUCAUCAUAUUAGCUUCUUCUGCUUCUGUUAACACCAUUGUCAUUGACAAAGAUAAACUAAAAAUAAAAAUGAAAUCAGAAUGGUUCCUUUCCUAUGAAACAACAAAUGCAUAUAACCAACAACAAAAGUGAGAGAAUAACAAAAAAAAAAAAAGCU